ACAUUGGUGGUUCAGUGGUAGAAUUCUUCUCCUUCCAUGUGGGUGACCCAGGUUUGACUCCCAGCCAAUGUA
RNAcentral lists this transfer RNA (72 nucleotides) under Loxodonta africana (African savanna elephant). It matches the Rfam family "tRNA". Rfam says of the family: Transfer RNA (tRNA) molecules are approximately 80 nucleotides in length. Their secondary structure includes four short double-helical elements and three loops (D, anti-codon, and T loops). The record is from Rfam by way of RNAcentral. Lineage: Eukaryota; Metazoa; Chordata; Mammalia; Proboscidea; Elephantidae.